UACGUAGGGUGCGAGCGUUGUCCGGAAUUAUUGGGCGUAAAGGGCUCGUAGGCGGUCUGUCGCGUCGAAAGUGAAAACCCAGGGCUUAACCCUGGGCCUGCUUCCGAUACGGGCAGACUAGAGGUAUGCAGGGGAGAACGGAAUUCCUGGUGUAGCGGUGAAGUGCGCAGAUAUCAGGAGGAACACCGGUGGCGAAGGCGGUUCUCUGGGCAUUACCUGACGCUGAGGAGCGAAAGUGUGGGGAGCGAACAGG
RNAcentral lists this ribosomal RNA (253 nucleotides) under uncultured bacterium. RNAcentral's name for it is "partial 16S ribosomal RNA". It matches the Rfam family "Bacterial small subunit ribosomal RNA", at positions 524 to 776 of the family's 1533-position model. The record is from RNAcentral.